UACGGAGGGGGCUAGCGUUGUUCGGAAUUACUGGGCGUAAAGCGCGCGUAGGCGGCUUAGCAAGUUAGAGGUGAAAGCCCGGAGCUCAACUCCGGAAUUGCCUUUAAAACUGCAAAGCUAGAAUCAUGGAGAGGUGAGUGGAAUUCCGAGUGUAGAGGUGAAAUUCGUAGAUAUUCGGAAGAACACCAGUGGCGAAGGCGACUCACUGGACAUGUAUUGACGCUGAGGUGCGAAAGCGUGGGGAGCAAACAGG
RNAcentral lists this ribosomal RNA (253 nucleotides) under uncultured bacterium. Its description in RNAcentral is "partial 16S ribosomal RNA". It matches the Rfam family "Bacterial small subunit ribosomal RNA", at positions 524 to 776 of the family's 1533-position model. The record is from RNAcentral.